This 563-nucleotide ribosomal RNA is filed under the name Macrobrachium villosimanus. RNAcentral describes it as "partial 16S ribosomal RNA". It matches the Rfam family "Bacterial large subunit ribosomal RNA", at positions 1793 to 2628 of the family's 2925-position model. Lineage: Eukaryota; Metazoa; Arthropoda; Malacostraca; Decapoda; Palaemonidae. The record is from RNAcentral.
CCCCCCCCUUUAUCAAAAAAACAUGUGUGUGUGAAUUAGCCCUUAAGUCUAGCCUGCCCCUGAUUUGUUUAAAGGGCCGCGGUAAUUUGACCGUGCGAAGGUAUCAUACUCAGUAAUCUUUCAUUUGGAGGCUUGCAUGAAUGGUUGGACGAAGGAUAAGCUGUCUCUCUCUUUUGCGUUGUUUGAAUUUAAUUUUUGAGUGAAAAGGCUCGAAUUAUUUAGGGGGACGAUAAAACCCUAUCAAACUUUAUAUAAUCUAAUCUUGCCUUGCUAUUUAAGUGAAAAAUAAUUUUGUUUGGUUUAUAUUUCUUUGGGGAGAUAAAUAUAUAAUUUGUAACUGUCUAUUGAAUUUUAUAGUAUUAAUUAAUAUUUAAUCCAUCUUUGAGGAUUAAGAGAAAAAAUUACUUUAGGGAUAACAACGUGAUUUUCUUUGAGAGUUCUUAUCUACAAAAGUAAUUGCGACCUCCAUGUUGAAUUAAAAUUUCAGCUAGGUGUAGCCGUUUAGCUGGUGGGUCUGUUCGACCUUUAAAAUUUUACAUGAUCUGCUUCCGACCCGGGCCGGA